RNAcentral lists this ribosomal RNA (369 nucleotides) under Bacillus atrophaeus. RNAcentral describes it as "bacterial SSU rRNA". It matches the Rfam family "Bacterial small subunit ribosomal RNA", at positions 91 to 454 of the family's 1533-position model. Lineage: Bacteria; Bacillati; Bacillota; Bacilli; Caryophanales; Bacillaceae. The record is from RNAcentral.
GAUACUGGCGGACGGGUGAGUAACACGUGGGUAACCUGCCUGUAAGACUGGGAUAACUCCGGGAACCGGGGCUAAUACCGGAUGCUUGUUUGAACCGCAUGGUUCAAACAUAAAAGGUGGCUUCGGCUACCACUUACAGAUGGACCCGCGGCGCAUUAGCUAGUUGGUGAGGUAAUGGCUCACCAAGGCAACGAUGCGUAGCCGACCUGAGAGGGUGAUCGGCCACACUGGGACUGAGACACGGCCCAGACUCCUACGGGAGGCAGCAGUAGGGAAUCUUCCGCAAUGGACGAAAGUCUGACGGAGCAACGCCGCGUGAGUGAUGAAGGUUUUCGGAUCGUAAAACUCUGUUGUUAGGGAAGAACAAGU